GGCUCACUUUGGCAGCAAUGUACUAAAAUUGGAAUGAUACAGAGAACAUUAGCAGGGCCCCUUCUCAAGGAUGAAAUUAUGCAGCAUUCCAUAAUUUC
RNAcentral lists this small nuclear RNA (98 nucleotides) under Aotus nancymaae (Ma's night monkey). The record is from RNAcentral. Lineage: Eukaryota; Metazoa; Chordata; Mammalia; Primates; Aotidae.